This 73-nucleotide non-coding RNA is filed under the name Lotharella oceanica. The record is from RNAcentral. Lineage: Eukaryota; Cercozoa; Chlorarachniophyceae.
AAAAAAACCUAAAAGCUCUGUGGUCUUCGUUUUUUUUUGUUUAUUUUUUUAUUGUUUGUUUUUUUAUUUUUUG